UGAGGAAUAUUGGUCAAUGGACGCAAGUCUGAACCAGCCACGUCGCGUGAAGGAAGACGGCCCUACGGGUUGUAAACUUCUUUUAUACGGGAAUAAAGUGCCCCACGCGUGGGGUUUUGCAAGUACCGUACGAAUAAGGAUCGGCUAACUCCGUGCCAGCAGCCGCGGUAAUACGGAGGAUCCGAGCGUUAUCCGGAUUUAUUGGGUUUAAAGGGUGCUCAGGCGGGGGAUUAAGUCGGCGGUGAAAUUUUGCAGCUCAACUGUAAAAGUGCCUUCGAAACUGGUUUCCUUGAGUGCGGAUGAGGUAGGCGGAAUUUGUGGUGUAGCGGUGAAAUGCAUAGAUAUCACGAGGAACUCCGAUUGCGCAGGCAGCUUACCAAGCCGUAACUGACGCUCAAGCACGAAGGCGUGGGGAUCAAACA
This 422-nucleotide ribosomal RNA is filed under the name uncultured bacterium. RNAcentral describes it as "bacterial SSU rRNA". It matches the Rfam family "Bacterial small subunit ribosomal RNA", at positions 355 to 774 of the family's 1533-position model. The record is from RNAcentral.